AGAGUGAACGCUGGCGGUAGGCCUAACACAUGCAAGUCGAACGGCAGCACGGUAAGAGCUUGCUCUUAUGGGUGGCGAGUGGCGGACGGGUGAGGAAUACAUCGGAAUCUACCUUUUGGUGGGGGAUAACGUAGGGAAACUUACGCUAAUACCGCAUACGCCCUUCGGGGGAAAGCCGGGGACCAGCAAUGGCCUGGCGCUGAUAGAUGAGCCGAUGUCGGAUUAGCUAGUUGGUGAGGUAAUGGCUCACCAAGGCGACGAUCCGUAGCUGGUCUGAGAGGAUGAUCAGCCACACUGGAACUGAGACACGGUCCAGACUCCGUACGGGAGCAGCAGUGGGGAAUAGUGGACAAGU
This 355-nucleotide ribosomal RNA is filed under the name uncultured soil bacterium. RNAcentral describes it as "bacterial SSU rRNA". It matches the Rfam family "Bacterial small subunit ribosomal RNA", at positions 26 to 373 of the family's 1533-position model. The record is from RNAcentral.